GAUUACAAAGAUAAAAACACAGCGCAUGUAUCACAUGCAGAUCCGGUUGGUAGUCCGGACGGAAGACCCCUGUUCCUUUGCCGGAACCGGUAUUGGCAGGCAGUUCUUCUAAGUAGCCCUCCUCCUUGGUCGUCCAUUCUUUGUUCAUAACAU
RNAcentral lists this non-coding RNA (153 nucleotides) under Clostridium sp. RNAcentral describes it as "Azaaromatic sequence". It matches the Rfam family "azaaromatic riboswitch aptamer (yjdF RNA)". The record is from RNAcentral. RNAcentral also lists the same sequence under 1 other name. Lineage: Bacteria; Bacillati; Bacillota; Clostridia; Eubacteriales; Clostridiaceae.